CAAGUAGCAACUGGUCAACAAUUGUUGCAUUACCGAGAAGAAGAACAAUUCUUAUCAUUUAUCUAUCUGCCAUCGAAGCAAAUCCAAACAAAAAGUUCUGUACCUUUUCCCAUAAAGAGAAUCUUUGACAGUUGUUUUCUCUUCAAAACGUGAUAAGGUUGUUCAUGUUGUAGCUUUGGGUCGACAUCAACAUUAAAUUCUUUCAGAUAUCUGUUUCUAUUAAAUUGCUACCAUGAAUUUCUAUAUAAACCACCACAGCUGCUCUCAAUUUAUCAAACCUGUCUUAACUCUCAAUCGACAUCACAUCGUUCUCUUAGAAUCAAAAACAUGAUGAAUAUGUGCAAGAAAUCACUCUUUCUUAGGGAAAAAGCCACCAUCCUUUUGUUCCUGAUCCUUGCUGCGAGUGCUCCUCUUGUAGUUGCAACUAGGACUUCUAGUUUCAUAAUGACCAUGAUGACAGAAAUUGAAGCAAGCAGCACGGAUGUUACCCAAAUUAGUAACCUUCCAAUUCAACCAUCUAGUCCUAGUCCUUAUCCUUGCAGUUACCAGCCUGGAGAUGGGCAAUGCAAACCUCCUAAGUGAUUCAUGCUACAUACUGUCCAUCAAGCAUCUAGCUAGUUAUAUAAAUACAUGGAUCAUAUUGAUGAUGGAGGUGGAGAGAACACAAGUGGAGGCUAGAGAAUGUGUCAAGGAGACUAGAUAGAAUGAGUCCUUUUGUAUGCAUAUUAUAUAUCCAGUACACCUUUGAUAAUUUUUCUCAGAUUAUAUCCUGUUAUUUUGCUAUGUUUUAGCUGUCAGAAAUGGUUGAAAUUGAACAUCCUGUUGAGUGUUAC
Populus trichocarpa (black cottonwood) is the source of this 833-nucleotide long non-coding RNA. RefSeq lists it as uncharacterized. NCBI's taxonomy places the organism in Eukaryota, Viridiplantae, Streptophyta, Magnoliopsida, Malpighiales, Salicaceae. The record is from RefSeq and is a predicted model, not a curated record. The transcript is spliced from 2 exons.